CAUGUCGAGAAAUAAAAGCAACUAUACUGUGAAACUGCGAAUGGCUCAUUAAAUCAGUUAUCGUUUAUUUGAUAGUGCCUUACUACUUGGAUAACCGUGGUAAUUCUAGAGCUAAUACAUGCAUCAAGCCCCGACUUCUGGAGGGGUGUAUUUAUUAGAUAAAAAACCAAUGCCCUUUUGGGCUGCUUGGUGAAUCAUGAUAACUUAACGAAUCGCAUGGCCUUGCGCCGGCGAUGGUUCAUUCAAAUUUCUGCCCUAUCAACUUUCGAUUGUAGUUUAGUGGACUACAAUGGUUUCAACGGGUAACGGGGAAUUAGGGUUCGACUCCGGAGAGGGAGCCUGAGAAACGGCUACCACAUCCAAGGAAGGCAGCAGGCGCGCAAAUUACCCAAUCCCGACACGGGGAGGUAGUGACAAUAAAUACUGAUACAGGGCUCUUUUGGGUCUUGUAAUUGGAAUGAGUACAAUCUAAAUCCCUUAACGAGGAACAAUUGGAGGGCAAGUCUGGUGCCAGCAGCCGCGGUAAUUCCAGCUCCAAUAGCGUAUAUUAAAGUUGUUGCAGUUAAAAAGCUCGUAGUUGAACCUUGGGCCUGGCUGACCGGUCCGCCUCACCGCGUGCACUGGUUCGGCCGGGCCUUUCCUUCUGCGGAACGGCAUGCCCUUCGCUGGGCGUGUUCUGGGAAGCAGGACUUUUACUUUGAAAAAAUUAGAGUGUUCAAAGCAGGCCUUUGCUCGAAUACAUUAGCAUGGAAUAAUGGAAUAGGACGGCGCUCCUAUUUUGUUGGUUUCUAGGAGAGCCGUAAUGAUUAAUAGGGACAGUUGGGGGCAUCCGUAUUCAGUUGUCAGAGGUGAAAUUCUUGGAUUUACUGAAGACGAACUACUGCGAAAGCAUUUGCCAAAGAUGUUUUCAUUAAUCAGUGAACGAAAGUUAGGGGAUCGAAGACGAUCAGAUACCGUCGUAGUCUUAACCAUAAACUAUGCCGACUAGGGAUCGGGCGAUGUUAUUGUAUUGACUCGCUCGGCACCUUUCGAGAAUCAAAGUGUUUGGGUUCUGGGGGGAGUAUGGUCG
This 1069-nucleotide ribosomal RNA is filed under the name Verruconis verruculosa. RNAcentral's name for it is "SSU rRNA". It matches the Rfam family "Eukaryotic small subunit ribosomal RNA", at positions 54 to 1131 of the family's 1831-position model. The record is from RNAcentral. Lineage: Eukaryota; Fungi; Ascomycota; Dothideomycetes; Venturiales; Sympoventuriaceae.